UACGGAGGGUGCAAGCGUUGCUCGGAAUCACUGGGCGUAAAGCGACCGCAGGCGGCCUGACAAGUCGGAUGUGAAAGCCCUGGGCUCAACUCAGGAAUUGCAUUCGAAACUGGCAGGCUCGAGUACGGGAGAGGGGGGUGGAAUUCCUGGUGUAGGGGUGAAAUUCGUUGAUAUCAGGAGGAACACCGGCGGCGAAGGCGGCAUCCUGGACCGACACUGACACUGAGGAGCGAAAGCCAGGGGAGCAAACGGG
This 253-nucleotide ribosomal RNA is filed under the name uncultured bacterium. RNAcentral describes it as "partial 16S ribosomal RNA". It matches the Rfam family "Bacterial small subunit ribosomal RNA", at positions 524 to 776 of the family's 1533-position model. The record is from RNAcentral.